UACAGGGGGGGCAAGCGUUGUUCGGAAUUACUGGGCGUAAAGGGCUCGUAGGUGGCCAACUAAGUCAGACGUGAAAUCCCUCAGCUUAACUGGGGAACUGCGUCUGAUACUGGAUGGCUUGAGUUUGGGAGAGGGAUGCGGAAUUCCAGGUAUAGCGGUGAAAUGCGUAGAUAUCUGGAGGAACACCGGUGGCGAAGGCGGCAUCCUGGACCAACACUGACACUGAGGAGCGAAAGCCAGGGGAGCAAACGGG
This 253-nucleotide ribosomal RNA is filed under the name uncultured bacterium. RNAcentral's name for it is "partial 16S ribosomal RNA". It matches the Rfam family "Bacterial small subunit ribosomal RNA", at positions 524 to 776 of the family's 1533-position model. The record is from RNAcentral.